Molecule: long non-coding RNA, 335 nt
Filed under: Gossypium barbadense (sea-island cotton)
Lineage: Eukaryota; Viridiplantae; Streptophyta; Magnoliopsida; Malvales; Malvaceae
Description: long non-coding RNA (GBAR_LNC021963)
Source: RNAcentral
GGGGUGGAGAGAUUUGGGUAUGAUGUAGAGAUGGUAUGGGGGGUAUUUAGGGCAUGGUGUUUGAGGCCGGAAGGAUUCUUUCCGAAGGUGAGCGAGAGCUUGAAGUUGUUGAAGAUGGAAAAGGACCAACUUGAAGACAGCCUGAAAGAGGGGCAGAAACGGAUGAAGGAGAAUGGAAUUAGGCAUUUGAGUGUAGCUGAGGUAGAAAAGAUUGGGAAAAACAGAGUAUAUACCAAGUAAAAAAAAGGCUUUUAAUUUUGGUUCCCUUCGGUCAUUGUAGCUGAAUUACACAGUAGACUUGGACAAGGGAGUUAAAGUUGUCUCUGUUUGUAUUU